CUUCCAAAUUACUACAAAACAGGUUUGUCUGUUCUUUGUUUUGAGAAGAUUCGUACAAAUCAACUAUCCACAAAAAAAAACUAUAUGAGUAAACAUACAAAUAAAAAAAAAUACAUAAAUAUCAUUUUAAAAAGCUUAUGAUUCAAGCAAUCGCGGGCAAUGAACGACCUUCAUAAUAUAACAAAAGCACACACCUCAUGCAACUAAAUGAUUUUUAGUCUGAUUAUAAAUAAUAUCAUUUAAUAUGUUAAAAGGGAGAUACUAAGAAUUUUAAAAAGUGAAAACUGAAUUAUUUUAUCAAAAAGUUUAACAUUUUUAUUCCACUGAAAUGCUUUACAUAGGCUUUAAAUGGAUUCUACCAGUCGAUAUUUUUAUCUCAUGGUGGAAGAAAACAACAACAGAAAGUGGUGUGAAGGCAGG
This 420-nucleotide long non-coding RNA is filed under the name Mytilus galloprovincialis (Mediterranean mussel). The record is from RNAcentral. Lineage: Eukaryota; Metazoa; Mollusca; Bivalvia; Mytilida; Mytilidae.